GCCUGGGUGGCUCAGUUGGUAGAGCGUCCGACUUCGGCUAAGUCAUGAUCUCACAGUCUGUGAGUUCAAGCCCCACAUCAGGCU
RNAcentral lists this transfer RNA (84 nucleotides) under Felis catus (domestic cat). It matches the Rfam family "tRNA". Rfam says of the family: Transfer RNA (tRNA) molecules are approximately 80 nucleotides in length. Their secondary structure includes four short double-helical elements and three loops (D, anti-codon, and T loops). Further hydrogen bonds mediate the characteristic L-shaped molecular structure. tRNAs have two regions of fundamental functional importance: the anti-codon, which is responsible for specific mRNA codon recognition, and the 3' end, to which the tRNAs corresponding amino acid is attached (by aminoacyl-tRNA synthetases). tRNAs cope with the degeneracy of the genetic code in two manners: having more than one tRNA (with a specific anti-codon) for a particular amino acid; and 'wobble' base-pairing, i.e. permitting non-standard base-pairing at the 3rd anti-codon position. The record is from Rfam by way of RNAcentral. Lineage: Eukaryota; Metazoa; Chordata; Mammalia; Carnivora; Felidae.